CCACUCAACAAUAGACCUUCCACUAAACUUCAAAUAAAUAUAACAUGUACGAAAACCAUUAAAACUAAUCCAAGCUAGUUUGAAACAGAUCUAAACACAUGAUGCUCGGGCAAUAGACCAAAUGCCUUACAUAUCUGCUAGUAAAUAAAAUCACUCGAACAUGAGGGAAAUCAAGGAAAUAAACUAAAAGUCCACCACAGGAGGCUCAGAUCAUUGCUGCCAACAAUUAGAAACCACUCAUUUGAGCUAACUUAGACAGAAAAUUACAAUAAACUGAAUCAGAAGACAAAAUAGACUAAUAUUCAUGCUUCCUACUCUGCAAAUUUAUUCAUUCUUUUUUUCACUUCACAUUUUGUAGAGUUACGAAGUUGUGUACCUAGAUAUGACCACACAAAAGGUAAAUUCAAGUAAGGCGUGUAGCAAAUGAUAAUCAGUAGCAGCGAACAACAAUUAGUAGCAAUUUCAAGUUAAUUCCAAACCCAGGAAAUUGUAUCAAGUAAACCAGGAGAUAAUUUCAGACAAGUAACACCAGUAAAUACACAAACCAAACUUGAAUGAACCAAAUUUAACUCGAAAAUAACCCAAGAACCUUUUAAACCUCAACUCCUGAGACACAAGGAUAAUUCAAACCAUUUUUUAUACCUUAGACAAACUGAAGAUUUAAUUUAAAACUUAGGGUUUCAAAAUCACCCUAAAAGUUCGAUGGAAUAGUGAUUUUCUCGAGUUUUGCUGCCUGAAGUUUUUCAGUAUAUUUUCAGUGCUUCACCUCUCUCCCCCAAAAAAAUCUCCCUCUAGCUCUAACUAACAAGACUUUAUAGGCAAGUUACUAGGGCUACACAGACCUUAAGUUUUUUAGCCUUUAGUCCUUUUAAUUUUCUUUAUUAGCUAGUUAGUACCUCAAUUACUGACUUGUUGGUCAAGUAAUACUACCAAGUUCCUGAAUUUCAAAUUAAAAUCCCAUCUAGAAGGUUCUAGUGAUUUUCAAUUUCAGUUACUGCAUUAUUCUCUAUUAGAUUCCCUAUACUACCCCUGAAUUAAUACUAAAAUUACUAACCUAUGUCAAACAAAUCCUUGCCCUUUUAAACUUGGUCAAAUGACCAUGGUUAAUCAAUCAAAGGCCGGAAACUAUUAAGCUAUAACAUAACAAAGUGUAAUUAUCAAAACUCCUAAAUCAAUCUACAAAAAUAUAUCUAACCUACUUAGAACUUGGAUUAAUUCUAAUCAACAAUGUGUCCUAAAGAUAAAUUUAUUAUUAAUACAGUGAACUAAUAAUUAAAAACUAAAAUAUAAAAUGGAUAUUGUACUGUGAAAAAUAGCGCAAUAAGAAAAACAAAAAAUGAAAUGUAAAAAAAAAUAGCAACAAACAUGGAAUCAUAUAAUUAAAAUCAAACAAACAAUCAAAGUGCUAACAAUGAAAACUAAAUUAAACUAUAUGGCUUUACAAUCAGAACGCUAAAUCAAAUCCCUAACUCGAACGCAAAAAGAAAAUAAUAAAUAAAAAGAAUUCUGAGUAAAAAUAGAAGAAUGAAAAAUAACAAUCAUGAAUGAAUGUAAAACAGAAAAGAUGGUGAAAUAAUGAAAUACCUCGAAAUUUCGACUUGGACUCGAACACUAGCAGGUGUUUUUGGACCUAAUCGGACUACAAUCAUCCCUAAUAAGGUGUUUUCAUAAGAAAACACAUGAUUAAGGAAAAUUAUAGUCAAUAAAUCAGUAUCCCCCCAAUUUGGAGAAACUAGGGUUCCAAGCCAAAUUUUAUCUAAGAUUCGAGCCAUGUGGGGAUGAUUCAAAGGCUAUGGGUUGUGGAUUCGGAAAGAGGGGGUGAUGAGGCCAUAUGAUGUUAAUUUGGUGAGGUUUGGAGGUUGUGCCACUGGACAAGGCGGAGCCGGCGGCCACGGUUUCGAAUAUUCGACCACUUUGGCUAUGAUUUUAAGGAAACUAGACUUCGAUUUGAAAAGGGGAGGCAAAGGAAAAGGUAUGGUGUAAUUUUGGUGUAAUUGGGAGACACACCGCCGGCGGAGGCUAUUUUCGGUCGGCAGCGGACGGCGGAAGAACGGUGGUUGUAGGGUUUCUAGUAAGAGGGGUCUGAGACGGUGAGGAUCGGGGGGUUCUUGGGGGGGGGGGGAUGUUGUUUUGACAGUAAUAUAUCAACCAUCCCUUAGUUCCUGAC
RNAcentral lists this long non-coding RNA (2167 nucleotides) under Nicotiana benthamiana. RNAcentral's name for it is "long non-coding RNA (NBEN_LNC022979)". Lineage: Eukaryota; Viridiplantae; Streptophyta; Magnoliopsida; Solanales; Solanaceae. The record is from RNAcentral.